RNAcentral lists this ribosomal RNA (334 nucleotides) under Hemidactylus platycephalus. RNAcentral describes it as "partial 12S ribosomal RNA". Lineage: Eukaryota; Metazoa; Chordata; Lepidosauria; Squamata; Gekkonidae. The record is from RNAcentral.
AGAGAAUUACAAGUAAAAACUUGAAACUCAAAGGACUUGACGGCAUACCACAUCACCCUAGAGGAGCCUGUCCUAUAACCGAUAACCCACGUUACACCUCACCUGUCCUAGCACCACACCAGCCUAUAUACCGCCGCCUUCAGCCCGCCUUGCAAAAGAACCAACAGCGGACAACACAGUCCAACACCAAUACGCCAGGUCAAGGUGUAGCCAACGGACAGGAAGAGAUGGGCUACAUUUUCUACCCAUCAGAACACACCCAAAGCAACAUGAAAUCUGCGCUCAAAGGUGGAUUUAGCAGUAAGCCGCGCAAGAUGUGCACGACUGAAGCCAG